GAAACCGGAGCUAAUACCGGAUAGUUCCUGAACCGCAUGGUUCAAGGAUGAAAGACGGUUUCGGCUGUCACUUACAGAUGGACCCGCGGCGCAUAGCUAGUUGGUGGGGUAAUGGCUCACCAAGGCGACGAUGCGUAGCCGACCUGAGAGGGUGAUCGGCCACACUGGGACUGAGACACGGCCCAGACUCCUACGGGAGGCAGCAGUAGGGAAUCUUCCGCAAUGGACGAAAGUCUGACGGAGCAACGCCGCGUGAGUGAUGAAGGUUUUCGGAUCGUAAAGCUCUGUUGUUAGGGAAGAACAAGUGCGAGAGUAACUGCUCGCACCUUGACGGUACCUAACCAGAAAGCCACGGCUAACUACGUGCCAGCAGCCGCGGUAAUACGUAGGUGGCAAGCGUUGUCCGGAAUUAUUGGGCGUAAAGGGCUCGCAGGCGGUUUCUUAAGUCUGAUGUGAAAGCCCCCGGCUCAACCGGGGAGGGUCAUUGGAAACUGGGAAACUUGAGUGCAGAAGAGGAGAGUGGAAUUCCACGUGUAGCGGUGAAAUGCGUAGAGAUGUGGAGGAACACCAGUGGCGAAGGCGACUCUCUGGUCUGUAACUGACGCUGAGGAGCGAAAGCGUGGGGAGCGAACAGGAUUAGAUACCCUGGUAGUCCACGCCGUAAACGAUGAGUGCUAAGUGUUAGGGGGUUUCCGCCCCUUAGUGCUGCAGCUAACGCAUUAAGCACUCCGCCUGGGGAGUACGGUCGCAAGACUGAAACUCAAAGGAAUUGACGGGGGCCCGCACAAGCGGUGGAGCAUGUGGUUUAAUUCGAAGCAACGCGAAGAACCUUACCAGGUCUUGACAUCCUCUGACAACCCUAGAGAUAGGGCUUUCCCUUCGGGGACAGAGUGACAGGUGGUGCAU
This 906-nucleotide ribosomal RNA is filed under the name uncultured Bacillus sp. RNAcentral's name for it is "bacterial SSU rRNA". It matches the Rfam family "Bacterial small subunit ribosomal RNA", at positions 153 to 1046 of the family's 1533-position model. Lineage: Bacteria; Bacillati; Bacillota; Bacilli; Caryophanales; Bacillaceae. The record is from RNAcentral.